GCCUGUUUUGUUUGCCACUUGUAAUAUAUAAUGCUUGACUCGUAUUACUUUAGGCUGUGAGAAAUAAUUGUCAUUGAAAUCUUGCUCUGUGAUUUAGUAACCUUCUAGUAUUUGUGUGUGUUCACCUUGUGUACUAGUUAACUUUGUAUGUGCUUGAACCCAUCUAAAUAACUAGUCUCUGUAUUACCUAUGUACCUGUGACAUAUAUGCUUGUGAUAUAAUCAUUUUCCUGUUGUCCCAUAAUCUAGUUUCCUCUUUCUGUCAUAUGCUUGCUAGAUAUAUAUGUCCAUGUCUUUUGACUUCCUUUGUCAUUGAUGUUAGUAUUUUAAUUUCUCAAGCAUUACGAAAACACCAAAAAGACAAUGAGUAAAAUCUGAAUCUCCCUGUGCUCUUUGCAUUUUCUUUGUCGUCGACUUUGGUUAGUUUAGGUCUAUAUUUCCUCGCAAUCAUCAUCUGAAUUCUGUCACCUAGCUUUAGCCGAGCAUCGUUGCUGUCGCCUAGUCCCUGUGGAGAACACGACACUCGCAGUUUGGGUGUAAAACCCCACUGUACUCACAAUAGAUCAUUUUGGCAUCGUUGCCGGGGACUAGCGUCGAGCGAUUGUGCGAAGCUAUAUACUAGGCAUAGUAUAGUUUUUGUUUAAAUUUCCAGUCAAAUUUAUUUCUGUGUUUCUUUUACCUUUUUACUUUUUGUUGCUUCGACUUAUUAGGAUACUAACCCUCUCACCAGUGUUUGAUGUUUGUGAGCGUGUGUAGCAUAUCUUAUUAUUUGUAGGCCGAUUGAUAGUUGCACUUGAACAUAUGGCUUUAGUACGUGAUCUUUGGUUGCCAAGUAGUUUGGACACAAUGACAGGGCCAAUUUGGCCAUCUAUUGAGGCCAAAAAUUUUGAGUUGAGGCCUGGACUUAUUGCUCUCGUCUUGCAUAAUCAGUUUAGAGGAUUACCCAAUGAAGACCCUCAUGAGAAUAUUAGUAAUGUUCUGGAGUAUGCCAAUACAGUCCAGUACCAUGGCAUUUCCCAAGAUGCUAUCAAGUGUAUGUUUUUCACAUUCUCUCUCCGAGAUUCUGCUAAGGACUGGUACUAUUCUUUGCCAUCAAGAUCAUACACUUGGGGUGAUAUUUCACAAGCUUUCUUGCACAUAUAUUUUCCACUUUACAAGCAAGGUGCAAUUCGUGACCAGAUCCUCAACUUUGCACAAGAUAGAAGUGAGAGCUUGUAUGCAGCUUGGGAGAGAUAUAAGUAUUUGCUUAGAAAAUGUCCUAAUCAUGGGCAAAAGGAUUGGUUAGUGUUAUAGAUAUUCUAUAGAGGGCUAACACAUGCUUCAAGAGAUCUUAUUGAUAUGUCAGCUGGUGGAACAAUCAUGAACAAGACCGUUGAGGGUGCAAUUAUUCUCAUUGAGAACAUUGCCUUCUGCCAAAUGCAAUGGAGUUAUGAAGGGCCUAGUUCAAAUCUGAAGGUUGCAAGCUGUGUACAAUCAGAAGCCGUGUGUUCCAUAAGUGAACAGAAAUCAUCCAUGGUGCCUAAUAUUCAAAAUCAACAUGUUUCAUUCUGGGGACAACAACAUUUCAGAACUGAAUUAGAGCCUCCAUAUAGAAACAUUGAUCUUACUUCAAUUAUACUUGAUGAUGAUUACAAUAUUUUCCAAGAUGAUGCAACCACUGUUGAUCAGAUGGAUACCAUAGUAGCAAAUCCAAUACCUCAUGGCAAUUAAACUAUUUACAAUGUGUCAAAGUUGCAAUAAGAGGUUUAUGAGGAAUCUACUCUGACUGACGCAAGGUUGAGACAACAAGAUAUGGAGAAAUUCACUUGUGUUAGUCAGCUAUGUGACUGGUGGAAUUUAGUCGUAUCACCAAUUGCCCACACUUGUGUUACAACUGUAUCUAGACUAUUUGUCAAGAAGAAAUCAUUAGCUCCACCAGUGGUUACCUCUAUCAUAGUUAAAGAGAGUAUCUCAGAGAAGAAUAGUGAAGAUGAGAUUCCAACUCUUGCACAUACAACUAAGCAAGUCGGAGACAUUCCAAGGAGAGAGAUACAAGAGGUUGAGUCAAAUUUAGAAGAGUUGAUACUACAAUAUCCUGAGAAGAUCCCACAUGUUGCUGAGCUGCAUGACUGGAGGAAGUCAUCAGUGUCACUGUUGAAACUUAGCAGUGAUGUUGAUGAGGAGAACAUUGCUCAUAAAGACAGCGAGGUAGUGAUCUCAGCACCCCUACUAGAUCAUGUUAGUGAAUAUUCAUAGAUGGGGACACUUCAGACUCAAUUAGGUGUUGUUGGUAGUAGCACCAUAGAAGAUCCAGAGGAACAGAUACCUCAACUUGAAGAAGAUUUACAAGAAGACAAGGAAUAAGAUGAUCAAGAGCUUGAAUGCCCAAGUGAUCAAGACGAAGAUUCGUUGCCUAUCACUCCUGAAGAAGUACAAGAAGCUGCUGUAGUUGAACUUGAGGAACCAAAAAUUCAUUUGCCUAUCAUCGUACAAGAGCUUGAUCUAGCAGGUUUAUCUAAUCCUCUCAAUGACAUGUGUCCUUAUGAUUCCUUUGCUUCUACCUUGCAUUGCAUGAUGCAAUCUGUUAAAGUAGAUUUGAAAAAGUAUUUGCUUGGAUAUGAUCAUAUAUACCCUGUUAGUGGCAUUACUCACAUUAGUGAUGAUCACAGUUACUUUCCUCGUGCUAGACCUAUGCUUAAUGAAACAUAUCAUUCUUAUGCUAGUCUUGAGCUUAAUGAAAAAUAUCAUCCUCAUGUUAGUGUUGACCCUGAUUUCUACCAUCCUAAACAUGUGCUUUAUAGCUAUGCUUAUGUAAUUGGAUAUUCGAUUGAUGACUUGGAGGGUAUUAUCCCCACCACUUGCAUUGUCUCUUUAGUUGAGAGUUCUUUCAGGUUUUUGCUUGUGCACGAUCCACUACAUGCUGACCAGGUUCGAGGUGACAUUCCUUGGGAUCCCGGUGGAUUCAGAACAUGGUGAUGAGGAGAAGUAGAGGAGCACACAUGAAGAAGAGCGAAGCAGGAGCGUGCACGAGGAUAGAGAGCAUGAGGAUAGAGAAGCAAAAGGAGAGGAGUCACAAUGCAAGAGGAUGUGAGAUGAUCGAGCAAGUGCUACAUGAUGAAAACCCGGUGAGCUAUUUCAUGUCCCCAAUCUGAAUAUAUCAUCCAUUGAUACAUGCUGAAAUCAUUUGAUAUUUGGGUUGCUUAAGCCAUUUCUUAAAUGUUGUUCCACUGAAUUUCAUUUGACAUAUUGUGCACGAUGUGAACAUGUAAACCGAUUGUGGAAUGCCUUGUAAACUAGUGAUCUAUACCUUGCUUGCUUUGCUGAAAUUAGUGAAAGUUAUUAGUUUUGAGUGCUCAGAUCCCUAGUACACUAGAAAACUCCAUCAUUUUCUGCAUUUACUUUGAUACACCUAGAUCAUUAAGUGUUAGAUGCCGAUUUUGUGCCAAGUGUGUUCCCAUUCAGAGCAAUCACUUAACCACUAUGGAUUAGCAUGCUAUGUUCUCUGGAUCGAUAGCAUGUGAACCAGACAUGGAUGGGUGAUGAUUCUUGUUUCCUUCUUUAUGUUUCAUGCCAUUGUAAUUCCUUUGUUCAAUAUGUAAUAAUGAAUAUAAGUCUAGUCUACCAACAGUAGCAUGUCAUGUUCCCUGGAUCAGUGGCAUGUGAAAUUUGGUAGCUUGGACAGUAAUAAAUAAAUAAAAAUGCAAUAUUUGUCGAACUAGGUGUAUACCAUGUUCUCGGGAUCGGUGGUAUGUUCCUUUGGGGAGACAAACAAAAAAUAUAUAAUUGGUCGAGCCAGGUGUAUACCAUGUUCUCGGGAUCGGUGGUAUGUUCCUUUGGUGAGACUGAUAAAAUAUUAUCAGUGCUUACUUGAAAAUUCAAUAAGUAGUUUAGCCACAAUGUUGUGUUCCUGGUAACAAGUAUUUCUCGGGAUCAUGCUCUCUUUAGGAACCUUUUGGCACAAUCCGCAUUUAAACUUGUUGAUCCACUUUUAUCAUUGUAGAAGUUUAAAAUGAUCGAGUCUACUAGUAUCCUAUUGCUUUGUAGCAUCCUAACCAUUAAUCUUCACUAACUAAGUAUGAAGCAGCAUUGUUUGGAGAUCUACUUUACUAGGACCUUCUUUAGUCAGUUCACUGUUCAUACUCUUGCUCUUGUCAUAUGCCUUUGCUUGAGGACAAGCAAAGAUUUAAUUGUGGGGGAACUUGAUAGAGCAUUUCCUCAUAUAAUCUUUUUAGCCUUUUUGCAUCACAUUGCAAUCAUAUUUUCUCAUUAUUUACUCAAGAAAUAUUCGGAUGUUCCCGUUAUGUUACAUUUACAACACUCCUCCAUAUUUUGUAGAAAAGGGCAAAAAGGCCCAAAAUCCUUCUAUAAUGGAGAGUGUCAAGAAGUUGUGGGCGUGAAGAAAAAGAAGUAAUCAGAUGGGGCCAAACUUAAGAACAGGACCAACUUGUGCAGAAAGAAGAAAAGGACAGGGGCCAGCGUGCUACUGGAAGAUCUGAUCGACGGAAUCAAAUCCCUAGCGCUCUCAAUCCCCAAAUCGGGCCUGGCAACACCUCUCCUUACCCCAUCUCCAUCUCCACCACCGGUCACCACCACGGCCAGGCCGGCGUGGUGGUGCACCAUCCGCCCAACGCCAGCAUCUUCUUAUCCUUCCCCGAGUCCAGCAUCAUCCAUCCACAACGCCGCCACUAGCGCCACCAUCUCCAACCACCGUCGCCAGCAGCACCAAGCGCCACCCGCACUCGCUCUCCUUCCAACCUCGCGCGCCUGAGCAGACAGGGAGACCGUGGGCAUCUGACCCCCCGCGCGCCUCCACCUGCUUGUUUUCCUUGCUGAUUCCCUUUGCUGCUGCUCCUUUUCUUGCGUCUCUGCUUCUUCCUCUCUGAAUCCCUACUGUUGGUGCUCUUCUUCUUCCCUUUGCUGUUCUGAAUCUUCACAUUGCAGUUGUUCCUUCUCCUGCGCCCCCUAUUACUCUGUCACGCUGCUGCUCCUUCUUCUUCUCCAACUGCACUAUUUCUCCAUGCCCUUGCUGCUGCUCCUUCUCUCCAAGCUCCACUGCUGCUCUUUCCUUGUUGUGCCCUGCUGCACCUCCUCCUCUCAACGCCUCCUGCUGCUGCUACUCCCUUCCCCUCACUGCUACUCUUAUUCCUUACCUCCUCUGCUGCUGCUCUCUUUAGAUCUAUCUCUCUCUCUAUGAAUUUUCUAUAAGCUAAGAUGUGUAAAACUUUGUAACAUUCAGAUUUUAGGAGUGUUGGCAACCUGUAGCCUGUUCUGUUUGGUACUUGUAAUAUAUAAUGCUUGACUCGUAUUACUUUAGGCUGUGAGAAAUAAUUGUCAUUGAAAUCUUGCUCUGUGAUUUAGUAACCUUCUAGUAUUUGUGUGUGUUCACCUUGUGUACUAGUUAACUUUGUAUGUGCUUGAACCCAUCUAAAUAACUAGUCUCUGUAUUACCUAUGUACCUGUGACAUAUAUGCUUGUGAUAUAAUCAUUUUCCUGUUGUCCCAUAAUCUAGUUUCCUCUUUCUGUCAUAUGCUUGCUAGAUAUAUAUGUCCAUGUCUUUUGACUUCCUUUGUCAUUGAUGUUAGUAUUUUAAUUUCUCAAGCAUUACGAAAACACCAAAAAGACAAUGAGUAAAAUCUGAAUCUCCCUGUGCUCUUUGCAUUUUCUUUGUCGUCGACUUUGGUUAGUUUAGGUCUAUAUUUCCUCGCAAUCAUCAUCUGAAUUCUGUCACCUAGCUUUAGCCGAGGAUCAUUGUCGUCGCCUAGUCCCUGUGGAGAAGACGACACUCACAGUUUGGGCGUAAAACCCCACUAUACUCACAAUAGAUCAAGCAAUUAAUUCAUUUGCACAUUGAUCUUUUUGAGAAGAUAUGUCAUAAUUAACAUGUUUCUUCAGUGUUUCAAAAUAAGCAUAGGUGAUUUUCUAUGUUGCUA
This 5908-nucleotide long non-coding RNA is filed under the name Triticum aestivum (bread wheat). RNAcentral's name for it is "long non-coding RNA (TAES_LNC010296)". The record is from RNAcentral. Lineage: Eukaryota; Viridiplantae; Streptophyta; Magnoliopsida; Poales; Poaceae.